RNAcentral lists this ribosomal RNA (486 nucleotides) under Streptococcus sp. oral taxon 064. Its description in RNAcentral is "bacterial SSU rRNA". It matches the Rfam family "Bacterial small subunit ribosomal RNA", at positions 28 to 497 of the family's 1533-position model. Lineage: Bacteria; Bacillati; Bacillota; Bacilli; Lactobacillales; Streptococcaceae. The record is from RNAcentral.
GACGAACGCUGGCGGCGUGCCUAAUACAUGCAAGUAGAACGCUGAAGAGAGGAGCUUGCUCUUCUUGGAUGAGUUGCGAACGGGUGAGUAACGCGUAGGUAACCUGCCUGGUAGCGGGGGAUAACUAUUGGAAACGAUAGCUAAUACCGCAUAAUAGUAGAUGUUGCAUGACAUUUGCUUAAAAGGUGCAAUUGCAUCACUACCAGAUGGACCUGCGUUGUAUUAGCUAGUUGGUGAGGUAACGGCUCACCAAGGCAACGAUACAUAGCCGACCUGAGAGGGUGAUCGGCCACACUGGGACUGAGACACGGCCCAGACUCCUACGGGAGGCAGCAGUAGGGAAUCUUCGGCAAUGGACGGAAGUCUGACCGAGCAACGCCGCGUGAGUGAAGAAGGUUUUCGGAUCGUAAAGCUCUGUUGUAAGAGAAGAACGAGUGUGAGAGUGGAAAGUUCACACUGUGACGGUAUCUUACCAGAAAGGACGGC